This is a long non-coding RNA of Daucus carota subsp. sativus, 905 nucleotides long. RefSeq lists it as uncharacterized. The record is from RefSeq and is a predicted model, not a curated record. The transcript has 3 exons. NCBI's taxonomy places the organism in Eukaryota, Viridiplantae, Streptophyta, Magnoliopsida, Apiales, Apiaceae.
CUUAUACACUUUUAUGUAUUCUACGGAUUAUGUAUAUGUAUCUUUGAAUAUAAAAAACACAUCAAUCACCAGGAAACAAAAGAUGCUUGCCCCGAUGCUAUUCAAAUUUCAGUUUUGAAAUUCAAAAUUACAGUGCAUUAUCUCUUCCUCUUUCUCUUUCUUUUUGUCAUCUUUCUUUCUGUAAUUUUUUAUGAACUUGAAUUGCAAACUAAUAAUUGUUAAUUCCUGCAGAUGAUGACGGUGAUACCUACGAUGAUACACACAGUCACACAUAAUACAACUGAUUUUGUUUUUUUUACUAUUUCUCUGUAUUUUCGGUAUACCUCAGGUUUUUGUUAUCUGAAACUGAUUACUAAUUAUGAUUGUUCGAUCUUUUUCAGAUGAUGAUUAACGAUAUGCAGAUGUUUGGAUGUUGAGGGAUAGCCACGGUCAUUAUUUUUGUGAAAUCUUGGUUGUAUGAAUAUUUUUUUUGUCAUCACUGAUCCUAGGCUUCUGGACCCCAUUAUUUUCGCAUGUGAUAGCUUCUUGGAGUUGAUAGGGCAUGGCCUGCGUGUAAAAUAUUUUUGACCUGGGGGUUACAUAUCAAAAGUUUUUAUGAUAAGACAAUACCUACAUAAUUUGAUGUGUUUUGAUGUUGUUUUUGCCAGGUUUUGGAUCCAUGAAUUCAAGAGAUAAGUUUAAAGUACUUCAAGUACCAAAAUCUUCUAAAAGAGUUUCUGAAUCAUGCAGAAAAGUGUGGAAAAGCAAAGCUCAUUAAUGAGAACGGAGAACCAAAUAUUACACUCAUAGAAUAGUACAAAUUAAAAUGCUUUCAACCUUUUCUAUUUAUAUGCACAAUCAGAUAGAGGGCCAAGCAUAGCUGCUAUAUCUGCAUAUCAUGAAUGGGAUGCAGAUUAUUUGCUGAA